GGAACUUCAUUAUUUUAUUUUCACAUCAAUGUAAAUCAAUCAAAACCCACUGCUUAUAUUAUUUUUAAAACAGUUGUGCAAAAUUUUAAAAAGUAGUGAGAAACACAACAUACUUCGUCUAUCAUUUCCAAAUAAAACCCGUAAACAUAGCAACAAAAGAAAGCCUUAACCUUCCUUUUAAUUAUGAAACACCCAAAAAAAUCAAAACAAAAAGUUAAAGUAUGUUAGAUUCUCUCAUUAUUCACAUAAUGACAACUAAAUUAAUC
This 266-nucleotide unclassified non-coding RNA is filed under the name Hevea brasiliensis (rubber tree). The record is from RNAcentral. Lineage: Eukaryota; Viridiplantae; Streptophyta; Magnoliopsida; Malpighiales; Euphorbiaceae.